CUCUGUCAAACAAGUAAAGAAAAUCUUUUUAAAAAAAUAAGAAGGAAUAAAAACAUAAAUUAAUUAAAAGAAAUUUAAAAAAUAAGUUAAUUUUUUAAAAAUUGACAGCCUAAAAAAAAAUAAGGAAGAAAUGAAUGAAGGCAUACAUUAAUGAAAGAGAAAAAAUUUCUAGAUAAAGGUUAUCAAUAAUAAAAUCAAUCAAAAUUAAUAAAAAAUCAAAAGGUGGUUCAAUAAAUCUGAUCAAGAAAAAGGACUCCAACAGAACAUACAUGAAUGUAUAAGAACAAGGUGAGGUUUAAAAAAAAAAGUUAAUACCAGAGUAUUGAGAGCAAGAUGGAGUCUCUGAUGUCCAGCAGGGACCAGUAUCAAGCCAUGGGCAGCCGUUAAGGACACUGCAGCCACGAGAUAUCAACGAGACCAGCACCAGCUGCCGACACCCCAGGGCUGAUCAAGAGCACAGGCACAGGAGGUUUUCAGGGGCCCCUGACCAAUUCAAUCCCUUUAAAAAGGGGAGGGUUUUUGCAGCAAACUGUCAGGCUUUCCAGACCCUGAGCCCUCUAUGUCUGACCACUUAAAUAAAAAAGGCAGCUGCCGGGGCACUUGGGUGGCUUGGUGGGUUAAAGCCUCUGCCUUUAGCUUAGGUCAUGAUCUCCGGGUCCCCGCACUGGGCUCUCUGCUCAGCAGGGAGCCUGCUUCCACCUCUCUCUCUGUCUGCCUCUCUGCGUACUUGUGAUCUCUGCCUGUUAAAUAAAUAAAUAAAAUCUUUAAAAAAGAAAAAAAAAAAAAAAAGCAGCUGCCACUGAAGGAUCUGCCCCAUUGAUCUCAGAACAGACCCGAGAUCCUUCACUGUUUGCACAUAAUAAGAUGCCAGUGCCUAGAGCUGACCUGGACCUGACCGAGGCCUUCUCUCAACUGCGCGCCCACGGACGGACUGCGUGUUCAGUUUAUUAACUUCCUUACCCCCUGUGGUAUCUUAUUUUCUGGGUGACUUGGGGUAUCCUUUGUGUGCUAUGGAAGAAGCCACGUUAACCACUGGUAAAAUCUCAUUGAGUUUGGAAUCCUGAGCCUGCUUUAUAAUUAUGUUAACCUUGGCUUAUGAUGGAAUAAAGCUUGUGGAAAGACACUCCUGCGUGUGCCUUCACAGCGUGUUCAUGACACAGAGACAAUUUAAUACACAAAAUUUGAAAAUGUAAAUGAAAGGGAUCCUUUUCUAGAAAAAAACAUACAUUUAAUCUCUUAAAAAAGUCACUGCAUCCAGAUGGCUUUAAAGGUGAGUUUUUCAAACCUAAGGAAUAGAUCAUUCAUACGCUAGGUCUAUUCCAGGUCAUACAAAAAGAGAUUAACCUGAGUCAUUUUGAGAUCCACCAUAAACUAAGAGCAAAACUGGACAAGGCAACUAAAGAAAACCAUAAGCCAGUUUCACUUAUGAACUUAUGUUACAGGAUUGCAGGGUUCUUGUCUUACUGAGUCGGAGAAUGACUCUCGGGGACACAAAAAGGUGAAGAGAAGUGAAAGUUCAUUAAGUGAAGGGGAGAACAGAAAGGAAAGCAGCAGCUCUCUAGAGAGAGGGGGUCCCAAAUGGGCUGCCACUGAGGACUUUUAAUGGUAGUCUUUUAUUGAGAACUGAGUGGGAAGCUUGUGGCCUUGAGACUCUUGGUUUGAGUAAGGACUACUGAUAACACCCUUACUGACUUAUCUUUGAGGAUUGGUCAUUUUCUGUGAUACACUGUAGCCGCCAAAGGAAAAAAUACUCCCAGCCAUCCCAGGCCAGGCUGUCUGUUCCCUUAUCUUCUGUUCGCUCUGUCUUAAGGCUUCUGCCUGCCGGGAGCAGUUUCAGAGCCCAGCCAGGGACUCCCAGUCUCUCCCUGUCUCUACCUUAACCCUUUCCUUAUUCACUUAGACACAAAAAUCCUGUAUGAAAUACACAGCAAUUUUCAUCCAGCAAUGUACUGGAAGAAUACAUAGCAGGACUGUAAGGAUGGUAGACAUGGUUCAACAUUAGAAAAUCUAUUAUUGUAAUCCUAUUGCUGCAGGGUAAUGGAGAAAACUGUAUGAUCAUCUGUGAGAGUAGUACUGGAAGUAUUUGGUAAAAAAAAAAAACAAAAAAACCCACUUCUGAUUUUAAGAAAUAAUAAAACAAAUUGGCAAACUAGAAAAAGAACAAAGUGCAGUUUGUUUUUAAUUUUCAAAAACCUUCAGAAAACAUCAUGAGGGAUAAGGUAAGAUGCAAUCCGUGUGACUUCUGGGAAGAAGGAAGCGCGCCCUGAGGCUAGAUGGGUGUUGUGUUGGAUUCUUGGGAAAAGACAAAAUUGUUAUUUACAGAUAAAUUCUUACCCAGAAAACCCAAGAGAAUUAUUAGAAAACAAAGGUUCAGCGAAGUGACCACAGAGAUCCACACACUAAAACCCAAAUGAUCCCAGGGUACAAUACAAACAAGUCCACUGGGAAGAACCAACCAACCAAAACGGCGAUAAAAACUGCCAGGAAAAGAAACGAGAAAGAAACGUGCAAACCACCAAGAAGUCUGCAAGGCUUCAGCUGAAGCCCCAGGGGCGACUCGGAUCCACGGGAGACACCAGCACAGCGCGGGACAGGAAAGCUCAGUAUUGUACUGGGAGCACAUCUGGGCAAGCUCAUCUACGGGAAAGCAAAUCCCAGGACACCCCUGCCAUCCGGCGACAGGCCAUUACAGAAUCUGAACGGAAUCCCAAACAAAUGCCGGAAAAACGCUGCCAUUUGGCGACCUUCUGUUACAGAGCUCGGCCGUAGGGCUCCAGGCUCCCGAUGUGCCUGGAGGUAACGCCCCACGCGGACCGCGGCAGCCGGCGCCGAAGGAAGCCUGCGCCGGAAGACCGCGCGGCCGGAAGAGGCCCGUGGCCCCGCCCCUCCUUGCGUCGUGGGCGGGGCGUUCCCGCCCGGCUGACGGCCCCCGCGCGUCCCCGCGGCGCGCCCGUGUGCGGUCCCACGUCCGGCGCUGCCGCUGGUUCCCGGGCAGCCGUGGGCAGAGCCCUGGAACUCGCCCCACAUGGUCCUUUCCCCCUUGGUUUCCAGUACGUGGUGGCCGCAGUGGGAGCUGUGGCUGGAAAGGGGCCGCGUGGCGUUUUCUUCCCACCUUGCCCCUCCGCCGUGCUCCGUUCAAGUGUCUCCGCACCCUCGGUCACCCCGUGUCCCGCCUCCCCUUCCUCAAAUGAGGCCGCUUCCGGGGCUCCAGGUUUCCCCAGAAGUUUUUUAUUGCACUAGGUCAUUCCUAUAGCAUACAUGCUCUAAGAGGAGAUGUCACUACUGACCCAGUGGAUAUUGAAAGAGAUACGGCUAUAUACUCAUAAACUCAACAGCUCAGAUGAACUAGACCACUAUCAAAGCUAUCAAAAUGUACCCAAGAAGAAACAGAUAAGCUGAAUAGUAUUGUGACUGUGUGUUUUCUUCUUCGUCAUGAUCUUAAGGAACCCGUAUCGACUCGAGUAGGGAAAAAGAAGGAAAUUGAGGCCGACAUUAUUACUUCUUUAAUGACUUGAAUCCAUCCAGAGGAGC
Mustela lutreola (European mink) is the source of this 3531-nucleotide long non-coding RNA. RefSeq lists it as uncharacterized. The transcript is spliced from 4 exons. Lineage: Eukaryota; Metazoa; Chordata; Mammalia; Carnivora; Mustelidae. The record is from RefSeq and is a predicted model, not a curated record.